GCUUAGCCCUAAACCUAGAUAUCUGAUUAAACAAAUUUAUCCGCCAGAGAACUACUAGCAACAGCUUAAAACUCAAAGGACUUGGCGGUGCUUUAUAUCCCUCUAGAGGAGCCUGUUCUAUAAUCGAUAAACCCCGAUACACCUCACCAUCUCUUGCUAAUUCAGUUUAUAUACCGCCAUCUUCAGCAAACCCUAAAAAGGAAGAAAAGUAAGCACAAACAUUUUAACAUAAAAAAGUUAGGUCAAGGUGUAACCCAUGAGGUGGGAAGCGAAUGGGCUACAUUUUCUAUCAUAGAACACUUUUACGAAUACCCUAAUGAAAUAAAGGGUUAAAGGAGGAUUUAGGAGUAAACUGAGAAUAGAGAGCUCCAU
Molecule: ribosomal RNA, 372 nt
Filed under: Paguma larvata (masked palm civet)
Lineage: Eukaryota; Metazoa; Chordata; Mammalia; Carnivora; Viverridae
Description: partial 12S ribosomal RNA
Rfam family: Bacterial small subunit ribosomal RNA
Source: RNAcentral